This 247-nucleotide unclassified non-coding RNA is filed under the name plant metagenome. Its description in RNAcentral is "partial contains small subunit ribosomal RNA, internal transcribed spacer 1, and 5.8S ribosomal RNA". The stretch from base 199 to 247 matches the Rfam family "5.8S ribosomal RNA", at positions 1 to 49 of the family's 154-position model. The record is from RNAcentral.
UUUCCGUAGGUGAACCUGCGGAAGGAUCAUUAAAGAAUUUGCCCCGUCCUCUCGAGGAUGGGUCCUCUUCUAAACCGUGUAUACAUACCUUUGUUGCUUUGGCGGGCCGCCGUCUCGGCGUUGGCUUCGGCUGACUGUGCCCGCCAGAGAACCCCAACUCUUCUGUUUAGUAUUGUCUGAGUACUAUAUAAUAGUUAAAACUUUCAACAACGGAUCUCUUGGUUCUGGCAUCAAUGAAGAACGCAGC